UAAAUAAUAAGUUAGACUGAUGUUACUUAGUGAUGUGAUACGACUUUAUGAACUUUGAACUGUAUAAUACAGGACACUGUGUGACAUAGGCUCAUCAGCUAAAUAGCUGCUCGCCUAUAAUUAUAUAAUAAUAAUAAAUCGGCCAAGAGCAUGUCGGGCCGUACUCAGUGUAGGGUUUCGUAGUUACCAUUCUGUCAAAAUGGGCCAAAUGGGGCCUAUUAGUAUCAUGUACAUACCAAGCAUAAGGGAGUAUCCUUGCACCGCUUUGUAAGUACGUAUUAAACUUUUUCCAGGCAUAAUACGAUUUAUCCACCACAUACGCGCCAAUAGAAUUUCAACCUUAGCCAUUCGAUUUAAGGUUCAAAUUAGAUUGCACUUUCGGAAAAUAAGACGUCUUCAAAUCAAUCAUCAAAGCUGGAUUUAUUGGAAUAUAUGUGUUUUUUUUUUGGGAAAACCUUGUAGAUCAGUGCGGCCUGGAAAAGGGUUAUAAAAAGAGAUAUUUUUUUCAAUUUUAUACCUUUUUAGUCAAAAAAUCAGUAAAAUACUUACGUCAAAUUUAUUUCCAUAGCCUGGAGGAAAAUCUUUGCUUUUCAGAACAUUACUUCGGCUCUGUAUAGUUUUUUGCACGUACUUCAGAAUCUGGAAUCAAAUAAUACCAGUGUUGGAAGUAGCGAAACGUUAAUGCAAUUAAAAAUUAUUGGCCAUUAACCAUUAUAACUUGAACCGUAAAUUGUAACCGUCCGUUACGGUUACGAUUCAAUUUAUAAUGGUUAAUUGUUAAUUGCAAUUAUCGUUCGGCCAGUGAAUAAUACCCCCUACUCUAAUAAAGGGUCUCCGGCAAGCUCGGCCGAAUGUCACCUUCCCAUACAAACGGAAUUUCGUUCUCAUUUUAAAACUAUGUGUUGGAUUGUAAUGAAACUUUACACAUACAAUGACAUGAGGUAUUUCUAGGACUGAAAUUAGUUUAUAUUGCUCCACCUUAUAAAACAUAAGAAAUAGAGCAAAAACAAGUUUUGUAUGAAAAUCUUAAAUUCGCUGUAUUUUUUUUUACUAUGCUAUCUGUGAACUAAUUACAGCCCUAUUGGUUGACGUAACUGGUGACCGAAGAGCUGGCGGCUUCCUCGCACAACGUAUCAGUAUUGCGAUACAACGAGGAAAUGCCGCCAGCAUCCUUGGAACAAUGCCUCAAGGGCCUAUUUUAGAUAUAAGCUACUAGUUAUAGUAAUCAUCUGUAUAUAUCCAUUAUGUAUAUUGUUAUUGUAAAUAAAUACUUUUAA
Long non-coding RNA from Cydia pomonella (codling moth), 1277 nucleotides. RefSeq lists it as uncharacterized. The record is from RefSeq and is a predicted model, not a curated record. NCBI's taxonomy places the organism in Eukaryota, Metazoa, Arthropoda, Insecta, Lepidoptera, Tortricidae. The transcript is spliced from 2 exons.